CUGGGAACCAAAAUUUCUCUUUUCAGAUCUACAUCUCAGGCCACUUUCAGCUUAGGUUGCUCCUUGUUGUAUCUAUCAUUGAAUACAGACAGAAUCACUGAAUGUGGCAGCUUCAAGGAACCAGAGAGAUUAGGAAAUCAUAAAGAAUAAGAAAGAUGAUUUCUUGAUGCAGAAUGAAGAGACAUCAAUCAAAUAUUGCCAGACUAAACUUGAUCAGCUUUCAAAGACACUAAUAAAAAGUAUCCCAGCAGGAACUUUCUCUGUUCCUGGAGGUCAUGAACUCUACAGGAAAGCAAAGGAAAUUAUUGAAAAGGAAUAUCACCAAGUGCCCAUGAAAGGAGUGAAGGGAAAUGAGUUCCUCCAGAGAUUUCUGCAGUCCCAGGUGGCAAUAGAGAAAUCCUGCAGGCAGAUAAAGCCCUCACUGAUGGGGAGAAGCCCAUAGCAGGAGCUUCCUUCCUUUCUGUGGAACAACCCCGCUGUGUCUGGAAACAGCAAAGGGAACUGUGAUUGGAUGCCAGACAGACAGAGCCUUUUCUCUCACAUUCUGAAGUGUGGUCUUGAUGAGGAGUGGACCAGGAAUGAGAGAUCUGAUAAGGAACAGUAGCUGCUGAAACAGAAACUGCAGGAGCAGCAGCAGCAGGUGGAGGCUCAGAAGAGAAGUCUCCAGAAACACAUAGUCCAUAUGAUGGAGAAGCUGGUGGGGGAAAGAGAAAACCUGCUGAGAGAGCCAAACAAGAUAUUGGAGCAUCAGCUGAAGGUGAAUCAGGCUGUGGCAGUAGUAGAGCUUGAUAGCUUUGCCCUGGUACCUCAGGAAGGGAUGGGUGAAGGUUACAGCAAGAUCAUGCAGAGAUCAGAAGUGCAUCUACUGCUUGUGAUUUAUUAAAACCCUGAAGCCUUUGAAUCCUUCCAAAACCUUUAAAUUCGGCUCUGUAAGUAGACUUUGGAGUGUUCACGAUGAGUAUGCCCCCCCUACUCCAAGCCCUCAGAGAAUAUAAAUAGGGUUGAAUUGCCACUUAGAG
This is a long non-coding RNA of Camelus dromedarius (Arabian camel), 1019 nucleotides long. RefSeq lists it as uncharacterized. Lineage: Eukaryota; Metazoa; Chordata; Mammalia; Artiodactyla; Camelidae. The transcript is spliced from 5 exons. The record is from RefSeq and is a predicted model, not a curated record.